UUUAGUCUUUUCAGAGGAACCUGUCCCGUAAUCGAUAAUCCACGUUAAACCUUACUUAUUUUUGUUAACAGCUUGUAUACCGCCGUCGUCAGAAUGUCCUAAGAAGGGUUUAAUUUUCUUGAAUUUUUAUUAAAAAUGAUGUCAGGUCAAGGUGUAGCUUACGAAUAAGUGGAGAUGGGUUACAAUAAAUUUAUUUAUAACGGAUAAGGAUUUGCAAUAAUUCUUUGAAGGUGGAUUUGAUGGUAAUUAACUUAAUUAAAUUAAUUUGAUUUUAGCUCUAAAACAUGCACACAUCGCCCGUCGCUCUCGUUAAUUAAGGCGAGAUAAGUCGUAACAUAGUAG
Molecule: ribosomal RNA, 342 nt
Filed under: Nemoura sinuata
Lineage: Eukaryota; Metazoa; Arthropoda; Insecta; Plecoptera; Nemouridae
Description: partial small subunit ribosomal RNA
Rfam family: Microsporidia small subunit ribosomal RNA
Source: RNAcentral